UCCCGGUUGGUGAAAUGGUAUCACGCCUGGCUCUGAACCAGGUAUUCGUGGUUCGAGUCCAUGACCGGGAGCCA
RNAcentral lists this transfer RNA (74 nucleotides) under Vulcanimicrobiaceae bacterium. RNAcentral's name for it is "tRNA-Gln". It matches the Rfam family "tRNA". From Rfam's summary of the family: Transfer RNA (tRNA) molecules are approximately 80 nucleotides in length. RNAcentral also lists the same sequence under 1 other name. Lineage: Bacteria; Bacillati; Vulcanimicrobiota; Vulcanimicrobiia; Vulcanimicrobiales; Vulcanimicrobiaceae. The record is from RNAcentral.